UGAGGUGGGUGGGUGGCCCCAUCCCUCCAUAGGGGACCAUGAGAAUCCACUGGACAUGGUCUCUACAGGUUCUAUCUCCCCUGUGUUGGAUAUUUCGACUAAUGUUCUCUCUAUUGGGUCCUGGGAAACUCUUGGAUUCCUGGUAUCUGGGACUUUCUAGUGACUACCUUCAGUUCCCCCUCUCUCCACUACUAAACACCAUCUUUCAAAUUCCUGACCUUCUGUACUUCUCCCCAAUCUCUUCCAGUAUCUAAACCAGUCCCCAUUUUCCUUACCCCUCCUCUCUCCCUACCAGAUUUCUUUCUCCGUCUACCUCCAGAGAUUAUUUUCUUCCCCCUUCUGAUUGAGACUAUUUAUUUUUCACUUUUAUCAAUAUGAGACAUUCAGAGAAAUUUUACAAAGGGCAAGGUCAAUGUAACUAAGAUGUGAUUCAAUGCUAUAAUUUGACUGCUGCCCUGUCCUGUGGAAGCAGCAUGUGAAUAAUUUUAUUAUCAUUUAUUAUUUAAUGUCACACCUUAUGAAAAAUUAAAAAUAGGUUAAUGUAAU
RNAcentral lists this long non-coding RNA (546 nucleotides) under Rattus norvegicus (Norway rat). RNAcentral's name for it is "long non-coding RNA NONRATT011130". The record is from RNAcentral. Lineage: Eukaryota; Metazoa; Chordata; Mammalia; Rodentia; Muridae.